Pogoniulus pusillus (Red-fronted tinkerbird) is the source of this 3013-nucleotide RNA transcript. It is a transcript of the gene named atherin-like, with no coding region annotated. The record is from RefSeq and is a predicted model, not a curated record. The transcript is spliced from 2 exons. NCBI's taxonomy places the organism in Eukaryota, Metazoa, Chordata, Aves, Piciformes, Lybiidae.
CUCGGCCUUUUGGCUAAGAUCAAGUGUAGUAUCUGUUCUUAUCAGUUUAAUAUCUGAUACGUCCUCGAUGAGAGGACUUUAUAUUAAACGGAUUUUUGGCCGUGGGAGUUGGAUCCGGAGCUUGCUCCCUCCGCUCCGCGCAUCGUCCUGGUAUUGCAGUGCCUCCAGGCACGGUGCACCCCCGCACGGGGACCUUUGGUGGUUAACGACAGACGUGAAGCAGCUGAGGCGCCUCGGCCCGCCCGUGAGGGGCAGGAUCUGCCUGCGCAGGGGCUGCGCUCGGGGCUUGGCCUCUCUGCUGCUCUCCACAGGCACAGAGGAACUGUCGCUGCUGGGACGCAGAGCACAGCAGGGCUCAGACAGCUCCGCCAGCGCCCCGAGCCCCGCGGAGCCUGCUCGGCACAGGCUGUCUCUCGCAGGUUGCCUCUCCCCAGGGCGCGCUCCGAGCAGCGAUGCUUUGGGCAGGCAGAGAGCAGAGAAGCACCGAGCCAGAGGCGGCGCAGGGCGCAGGGAGGCUGCGCACAGCAGCUCAGCCUCUGCUCCCCGCAGCGCAGAGCAGCAGCAGAGGUGAGAGGAACCUGAGCGAGGGCAGAACGAGGGGAGCGGAGCAGCGGAGCAGGGCAGAAACGGCCUCUGGCUGCGCAGCUGCGGCGCAGAGGACUGGAUUAUCGGACGCCCGCGUAAUGUGUAUGUCCCGGUGGCAGAAGAGGACAACAAGUCAGCAAGCAUUCUACCCGUGCCCGAGGGUGUCGCAACAAUGAAAUCCAAGCAACGGCAAGAUAGCCCCCAGAGGGGGUGGCUGCGAUGUUUUUGUGUGAUCUUGAUUUUAGGGCUUGUCACCAUAGGACAGGCAGAAUCAGAGCACCAUCCCCAUCGGCCAUUCAGGUGGGUCCUACGAAACCCUGCAGAUGGUAAAAUAAUAAAGGAAAACACAACAGCAGGUGCCCCGACCUUUACGACAACAAUUGGUGACCUAUUCCCCCAGGUAGGAGGACCCAACUCUAAAUCAUUAUGGGGAACAUAUUGGUGCCCCAGUUCGAACCCAGGAAAGAGUUAUUGUGACUAUCCAGGAUACUGGUUUUGUGGCUACUGGGGAUGCGAGACCAUUGUAACAAGUGAUAGAUGGAAACCAGAAAAAGAGGAUGACUUUUUACGGGUAAGAUGGGGACCAGAUGGGUGCGUCAAUCCAAAAUUCGCGAGCGAUGGAAUGGUAGCUUCUAAAGGUACUUGUAAACAUUUGUAUUUAGAAAUCCUACACCCGACUUCUGCGGGUUGGGCUGUGGGGAAAAUGUGGUCAGUGUUUAUUCACAAAGCUUUCACAGAUCUAGGAGUGGUGAUACAAAUUAUCAGGCUCAUACCAGAAGCACCCCAAGCAAUUGGACCUAACCCGGUUAUUAACCCACAAAUAUCUACACCUUUAUUAUAUAAUACUACAAGUAAUACCGAAGUUAUCACACCUGCACCGACACACACCACCAAAAUUAUGGAACCCUAUGGAAAUCCUCUUUGGAAACUGAUGCAAGCCAGUUACCUGGUGUUAAAUAAAACAAACUCAAAUCUUACUGAACAUUGUUGGUUGUGUUAUGGGAUAAAACCACCCUUUUAUGAGGCUGUAGGAGUAAGUGACAUACCCAUACAAGUAAAUGAAUCAAAUCCAACCCAGUGCAUAUGGGACACAGAAAAGCAAGGGAUUACAUUAGCACAGAUGGUGGGAAGUGGCGUGUGUGUAGGCAAAGUCCCAAAGCACAAAGAACAACUGUGUGUUAAUAAGACAAUAUAUAAAACCCAUAAACCUCCUGCAAAGUGGUUAAUACCGGCCAAAAAUGCCAAGUGGCUUUGUUCUACUUCGGGAGUUACACCUUGUUUGUCAUUGGAAAAAAUUAAUGAAUCCUUAGAAUAUUGUGUCCAGGCAACUAUAGUCCCUAAAAUAUUUUACCAUUCCGAAGAAUUUGUCUACGACUCGCAGAGUACCCCAGAACAUCAUCUGUCAAAACGAGAACCCCGUACGGCACUAACAGUAGCUACUCUACUGACUGUAGGGCAUGUGGGAGAAGGCACAGGAGUAACCUCGCAGGUACAACAGAGCAAAGAAUUUAAAGCAUUAGGGAUGGCAGUAGACGAGGACUUGGUAGAAACUGAACAAUCAGUAACUGCGUUGGAAAAAUCCGUUAGAUCAUUAUCAGAAGUGGCACUACAAAACCCAAGGGGGUUAGAUCUAAGGAAUUUACAACGAGGGGGGCUAUGUGUAGCCCUGGGGGAGGAAUGCUGUGUGUAUGCAGACCACACUGGGAUAGUGAGGGACAAUAUGGCCCAACUGCGAGAAGGUUUGGAAAAACGGAAACAAGAGCGAGAGGCACAACAACAAAAUUGGUUUUCGUCGUGGUUUAACCAAUCACCAUGGCUGACCACCCUGAUAGCCACCUUGAUAGGGCUGAGCAUAAUAAUCAUGGUAGCAUUGACCUUUGGACCCUGUGUGCUGAAUAGGCUCGUGUCGUUUUUUUAAGAGCCGGCUAGAGAGUGUUAACAUCAUGUUGGCAGAACGCCAGCAACUGCUUUAAGAAUGUUCUUACUUGAAAUUUUCCCCUAGCUAGCCCCAGUUACACCCCCUUAUUCCCAGUUACCUCUUCUGACUGUGCCUUAUGUUUCCUAGUCAAGUUUGUGGUAUGUACAUUUUAGAUUGCUGUAAAGCACAGAAUAAGAACAGGAUAUUUGAGCUGGAUUGGUUAUGCAUUUAGCUGGAUUGGUUGUGCAUUUAGUGUGGUUUUAUUCGAGAUUACGAUCUGUAUCUUCUUUGAGACUGUUAUAUUUCAGCCAAUUCAAUUAUGCAUAGGGAGGGGGGAAAUGCAGGCAGCUAGGGUCAGGCGGCCGGAAGAUAUCGCGCUGUACGGAAAGGCAGGGACCCUCUCCCUAUAGCCAAUAGUGCCUAGCUUAUGAUGUAAGCAGACGGGGGUGACGUUGUAACCCACGCUACAUAAUCCCGCACCAGCCAUCAAUAAACGCCAUUUGCCGUCCA